UUGCCCUGGGGACAGGGAUAACUCCGAGAAAUCGGAAUAAUACCUGAUAGAUCAUGAUGAUUGGAAUAUCUUUUGAUCCAAAGGCAUUUCAUUUAUUUGGAAUGUUCCGCCUCAGGAUAGGUCUGCGGCCGAUUAGGUUGUUGUUGGUGUAAUGGACCAACAAGCCCAUUAUCGGUACGGGUUGUGAGAGCAAGAGCCCGGAGAUGGUUUCUGAGACAAGAAUCCAGGCCCUACGGGGUGCAGCAGGCGCGAAAACUUUACAAUGCAAGAAAUUGCGAUAAGGGAAAUCCGAGUGUCAGCACAUGUGCUGACUGUCCAGAAGUCUAAAACACUUCUGAUAGCAAGUACCGGGCAAGACCGGUGCCAGCCGCCGCGGUAAUACCGGCGGUACGAGUGGUAAUCACUAUUAUUGGGUUUAAAGAGUCCGUAGCCGGUUUAUUAAAUCCCAUAGGAAAUCUGAUGGCUUAACCAUUAGGCUUUUAUGGGAGACUGGUAAACUUGGGACCGGGGGAGGAUGGAGGUACUUCAGGGGUAGGAGUGAAAUCUUGUAAUCCUUGGAGGACCAUCGGUGGCGAAGGCGUCCAUCUAUAACGGAUCCGACGGUGAGGGACGAAAGCUAGGGUCACGAACCGGAUUAGAUACCCGGGUAGUCCUAGCCGUAAACGAUGCAGACUAAGUGUCAGAUACAGUGCGACUGUAUCUGGUGCCGUAGGGAAACCGUAAAGUCUGCCACCUGGGAAGUACGACCGCAAGGUUGAAACUWAAGGAAUUGGCGGGGGAGCAC
RNAcentral lists this ribosomal RNA (784 nucleotides) under uncultured euryarchaeote. RNAcentral describes it as "bacterial SSU rRNA". It matches the Rfam family "Archaeal small subunit ribosomal RNA", at positions 109 to 879 of the family's 1478-position model. Lineage: Archaea; Methanobacteriati; Methanobacteriota. The record is from RNAcentral.